GCAUAUCAAUAAGCGGAGGAAAAGAAACCAACCGGGAUUGCCUCCGUAACGGCGAGUGAAGCGGCAAGAGCUCAAAUUUGAAAUCUGGCCCCUUUGGGGCCCGAGUUGUAAUUUGCAGAGGAUGCUUCGGGUGCGGUCCCCAUCUAAGUGCCCUGGAACGGGCCGUCAUAGAGGGUGAGAAUCCCGUCUGGGAUGGGCGGCCGCGCCCGUGUGAAGCUCCUUCGACGAGUCGAGUUGUUUGGGAAUGCAGCUCUAAGCGGGUGGUAAAUUUCAUCUAAAGCUAAAUACUGGCCGGAGACCGAUAGCGCACAAGUAGAGUGAUCGAAAGAUGAAAAGCACUUUGAAAAGAGAGUUAAACAGCACGUGAAAUUGUUGAAAGGGAAGCGUUGUCCACCAGACUCGCCCGGGGGGGUUCAGCCGGCACUUGUGCCGGUGUACUCCUCCCCGGGCGGGCCAGCAUCGGUUUGGGCGGCUGGUGAAAGGCCCCGGGAAUGUAACACCCUUCGGGGUGCCUUAUAGCCCGGGGUGUCAUACGGCCAGCCUGGACCGAGGCCCGCGCUUCGGCGAGGAUGCUGGCGUAAUGGUGGUCAACGGCCCGUCUUGAAACACGGACCAAGGAGUCUAACAUCUAUGCGAGUGUUCGGGUGUCAAACCCGUCCGCGCAGUGAAAGCGAACGGAGGUGGGAGCCCCUCGGGGCGCACCAUCGACCGAUCCUGAUGUCUUCGGAUGGAUUUGAGUAAGAGCAUAGCUGUUGGGACCCGAAAGAUGGUGAACUAUGCCUGAAUAGGGCGAAGCCAGAGGAAACUCUGGUGGAGGCUCGCAGCGGUUCUGACGUGCAAAUCGAUCGUCAAAUUUGGGUAUAGGGGCGAAAGACUAAUCGAACCAUCUGGUAGCUGGUUCCUGCCGAA
This 909-nucleotide ribosomal RNA is filed under the name Talaromyces macrosporus. RNAcentral describes it as "LSU rRNA". It matches the Rfam family "Eukaryotic large subunit ribosomal RNA", at positions 38 to 965 of the family's 3401-position model. The record is from RNAcentral. Lineage: Eukaryota; Fungi; Ascomycota; Eurotiomycetes; Eurotiales; Trichocomaceae.